RNAcentral lists this ribosomal RNA (467 nucleotides) under uncultured bacterium. Its description in RNAcentral is "partial 16S ribosomal RNA". It matches the Rfam family "Bacterial small subunit ribosomal RNA", at positions 28 to 507 of the family's 1533-position model. The record is from RNAcentral.
GACGAACGCUGGCGGCGUGCUUAACACAUGCAAGUCGAACGGAAAGGCCUCUUUCGGGGGGUACUCGAGUGGCGAACGGGUGAGUAACACGUGAGUAACCUGCCCUUGACUUUGGGAUAACUUCAGGAAACUGGGGCUAAUACCGGAUAGGAGCUCCUGCUGCAUGGUGGGGGUUGGAAAGUUUCGGCGGUUGGGGAUGGACUCGCGGCUUAUCAGCUUGUUGGUGGGGUAGUGGCUUACCAAGGCUUUGACGGGUAGCCGGCCUGAGAGGGUGACCGGCCACAUUGGGACUGAGAUACGGCCCAGACUCCUACGGGGGGCAGCAGGGGGGAAUAUUGCACCAUGGGUGGAAGCCUGAUGCAGCAACGCCGUGUGCGGGAUGACGGCCUUCGGGUUGUAAACCGCUUUCGCUCAUGACGAAGCUUUGUGUGACGGUAGUGGGUAAAGAAGCACCGGCUAACUACGUG